UACAGAGGGUGCGAGCGUUAAUCGGAAUUACUGGGCGUAAAGCGUGCGUAGGCGGUUAUUUAAGUCGGAUGUGAAAGCCCCGGGCUCAACCUGGGAAUUGCAUUCGAGACUGAAUAGCUAGGGUGCGGUAGAGGGAAGCGGAAUUUCCGGUGUAGCGGUGAAAUGCGUAGAUAUCGGAAGGAACAUCAGUGGCGAAAGCGGCUGCCUGGACCAGCACCGACGUUCAGGCACGAAAGCGUGGGGAGCAAACAGG
RNAcentral lists this ribosomal RNA (253 nucleotides) under uncultured bacterium. RNAcentral describes it as "partial 16S ribosomal RNA". It matches the Rfam family "Bacterial small subunit ribosomal RNA", at positions 524 to 776 of the family's 1533-position model. The record is from RNAcentral.